UCACUGAUUGCAGCCAAGGCUGAGCGCGGAGUUUCAUUCUGUCUUGUUGUCCGCCAGUGUGAAGUGUGAUCGAUGGAACAUGGUUGAGUUAAUAGAACUUGGUGAGCUGAAGAAUUAGCAAUUUUCCAUGCUGUCAACAUUUCUGACGAGAUAGAGACGAUGUACCGGCGUUUUAAUGGGAGCCGUGCAGAGAAACAGAAAUGGGUGCCAUGCUGCCAGCCAGCCGGUCACAGGAAACAACUGCAACACACUGAUAUUGCUGAAUGGUUCGGCGCAGUUUGCAGCCGCGCGGGUGCCACCCCAACACGCCAUCGCUGUUACAGCGGACAGGAUGUGUGCCCCAGCAGUCCCUUACACGCUUAAUUCCAAAUGAUGUGCUGUAACAAUUGCUUCGCUCUGUACGACAUUGUCGACAAUCAGCCGAACUUCACUAACUACGCUGUUAAUGAACAAACAUGAAGUGAAACAAUGAAAAAUCCAGGAUGGACUGUAACAAUACGAGAGAAGGGAAGUUGCUACUUGCCAUUUAGCGUAGAUGCUGAGUCGCAAUAGGCACAAUAAGAUUGACACAACCAUAGCUUUCUGCCAUUAAGGCCUUUGCAGUUUAGAUGGAGGGUAGGAGAGAAGGUGUGGAGGGAGGGGGGGGGGGGGGUAAGUAGCAGAAAGGAGAGAAAUAAAAAUAAAAGAAAUUAAGACUGGGUGUGGCGGUGAAAUGAGGGCUGUGUAGUGCUGGAAUGGAAACAGGGAAGGAGCUGGAUCGGUGAUGUCAUGAACAUCAAUAUCUGAGUGCAGUGUCUUUAUAAGGUCAAUCUAUCUUAUUAAACCUGUGAAACAAAUAUUUGUCAAAUUAGAGGGUGCAGAGAGCACUAAAGGGAAGAUCCAAAGGACUGUCGAUAUGUCCCAUCAAUUCGAAACUAUUCUGUCAAUAAUCCAUGAAAGCAUUCUAUCAAAGUGCAACCUGAUAAAUUCUAGACAUUUUAUCAUGGUUUCCCAGAACAAACCCCGUAAGUGUCAUGCCAGUAAGGAAAAAGGACUGAGCAAAGCCUCCAAAGUGAGUAAAUUAAUUUGAGGGCACAAUUUUUUAUAUUGUGUUCCACAGAAACAGCCUAUCAAAUGUGAAAUUCAAUUUCCAGUAACAUCAUAAAUGCAUUUACUCAUUGUCGGCUGACAUCGGCAAAAAGAUUUAUCGCCAAUUUCAUUAAACAUGCCCAUUCCAUACCUUUGAAAUUCUGGUACCUCUGGAUUCAAUGUCGACUCCAGCACCAUCACAGUAGCCAAACUAAAAGAAAAACACAAAUGUGCAUGCACACGUGCGCCUGCAUACUCU
This is a long non-coding RNA of Schistocerca gregaria, 1327 nucleotides long. RefSeq lists it as uncharacterized. The record is from RefSeq and is a predicted model, not a curated record. The transcript is spliced from 3 exons. Lineage: Eukaryota; Metazoa; Arthropoda; Insecta; Orthoptera; Acrididae.